This 530-nucleotide long non-coding RNA is filed under the name Salvia miltiorrhiza (redroot sage). RNAcentral describes it as "long non-coding RNA (SMIL_LNC012795)". Lineage: Eukaryota; Viridiplantae; Streptophyta; Magnoliopsida; Lamiales; Lamiaceae. The record is from RNAcentral.
CUUCGAGACUGAGGUGUCGAGAGGGAGUGGGUGGUGUGAGUCGUCGACGGCGGUCGCCGCUUGUUGCUGCGGCUGUCGGUCGGUUAGAAGAGGCGGCGAUGAAGGCUGUAUCAGCCGGAGUUCGAGUCGGUGUGGCAGUGGCGCGGAACUACUGCCGCCACUGAGUGAGGGCAGAAGGCGGUGCGACCGCUUGAAGAGACAGGCGGUGGUUGCACCGGAGGGAGGAGUUAGGACUCCGGCGGCGGCUUCAUGCUGCUGCUGUCGGUCGGAGUGAAGGGAAGGGAGGCGGAGGCGGUGGCUUGGCGCCACUGUCGUCCGACGGCCAGGGUGAGAGAGAGAUCGAGCGAGGCGACGGAGGCCACGGCGGCUGCCGUUGCCAAGGAGAGGUGCCAGUGACGGCCGGCGGCUGCUACCGUCGGGGAGCGGCGUAGGGCCUGCGUCUGUGAGUGUGCGUCUUGUGUUCCGGGAGAUAGAGAGGGAGAUGGGGGCGAGAGAAGGGAGAACCGAGAGGUCAGUAGCUAUCGCCGCUU